UGCGGCGGCAGGACUUAGCACACAUGUGAACACUGUAAGUUUACCUCCAUGUUCACAGUGGUUAAGUUCUGCCGCCCUG
This 79-nucleotide microRNA precursor is filed under the name Salmo salar (Atlantic salmon). RNAcentral's name for it is "mir-27 microRNA precursor family". It matches the Rfam family "mir-27 microRNA precursor family". Lineage: Eukaryota; Metazoa; Chordata; Actinopteri; Salmoniformes; Salmonidae. The record is from Rfam by way of RNAcentral.